GUCAGGAACCCGCCGCUAAAUGCUUUGCAUUAUAGCGGGGGCAAGUAAGAAGCCCAAACGUGACCAGCCUAAGUCCCACGAGGACUACGUUACCUCUAAGUGUUAAAGUUCCUACCCUGGGAUGCGUUGCCAGUUCCAGGCUCUAGAACUCCAGCAUUAAACAGGCUUAAUCGGGUUAAACCAGUGUGUUGGAGAAAGUACCGAGGCGUAACUUAGGCGAGGCAAACGUUAC
The sequence is a non-coding RNA, 232 nucleotides long. It matches the Rfam family "HNH endonuclease-associated RNA and ORF (HEARO) RNA". The record is from Rfam.